This 71-nucleotide non-coding RNA is filed under the name bovine gut metagenome. Its description in RNAcentral is "pemK RNA". It matches the Rfam family "pemK RNA". The record is from RNAcentral.
ACAAUGAUACUUCCGUCCGAAAGGGCGGCUCGCAGUACCUGAAGUGGGCUGGGAGGGGUGAGAUUCCCAUG